GGGACAGGCUCACCCUGAAGGGGAGGGAGAGGGGACAGGCUCACCCUGAAGGGGAGGGAGAGGGGACAGGCUCACCCUGAAGGGGAGGGAGGGGGCACAGGCUCACCCUGAAGGGGAGGGAGGGGGCACAGGCUCACCCUGAAGGGGAGGGAGGGGGCACAGGCUCACCCUGAAGGGGAGGGAGAGGGGACAGGCUCACCCUGAAGGGGAGAUACACGCAGGGCCCAGACCUGAGGGCAGCAGGUGAGGGGCCGCGAAGGGAGCUAGCGACGCAGAGACUCCCUCUGAGGAGAAGGCGAAGACCUGCGUCCUGUGGCUGCAGUGGGUUGAUCAGUGCCCCGCCCCCCGGGAACUGGAGCUGUCUGUCACUAGCCUGCACGUCUCAGACCCUGAAAACUCCAUUCCCAGUCCUUAGUGAUCCUCUCCUGGUGAUGCCAGGAAGCAGCGUUGCCAAGCCCUGUGCUGGGGAGCUGAUCCCGACCCUGAAGGAGCCCAGACCACGGAGAGAGAGAAGUAGCCACGAACGGAACUGAAGACAGUUCAUAACGCUGUGAUAGAGGACGACGGACACCUUGCUGUGGGGCCACUUAAAAUGUAUUCUUUAAAAAUAUCAGUCAACAUUUCACUUUGCUCAAAACCCUGUAAAGGAUUUCCGUUUCACUCAGUGAGAGCCAAAGUUCUUCCAAUGGAAAAGUCGCUACACGGUCUGGCUUCCUCCUCCUCCUGUUAUGGAACCGAAGUGAGUUCUCUCCUGAAUAUUUUUUAAAGAUAUUUUCAGAAAAGAGAAAGGAAAUAACAUGCCUCUAGAAGAAGUACAACAAUCCAGGAAGUACAAGAAAGAGGAAGGAUGGAAGAAAGGAAGACAAAAAUUGUAAGGAAGAAGAUUAAAAGAGAGAGAGAGACGUUAACAGGACAAACUAGAAAUAUAGGCAAGUAUCAGAAAAAAAAAGGAUAUUAGAUUGACCAAACAGUGGGUGUUAUUGACUGCCCGGAAUCAACUAGAGGAUUUCAACCUUGACUGGGUUGACAGAACUAAGUUAAUAUUUCACUUGUGCGAAAUAGCAUUUCUUACUGUUAUAUAAUUGUUUGCCUUAGAUGAACAUGCCACCAUGUUGAUAUACGUGAAUUAAACUUCAGGUGAAAUUUGUGUUUUGAGCCCACUGUGGAAGAACUGGAUCAGCAAUGAUUCAGUAAUCAAGAAGUAAAAAUAAAUAGAGGCUGGCCAGGUGGCAUAGUGGUUAGGUUUGCAUGUUCUGCUUCAGCAGCACAGGGUUCACAGAUUUGGAUCCUGGGUGCGGACCUAUGCACCACUCAUCAAGGCAUGCUGAGACAGUGUCCCACAUACAAAAUAGAGGAAGAUUGGCAUAGAGGUUAGCUCAGCGACAAUCUUCCUUCACACAAAAAGAGGAAG
This 1411-nucleotide long non-coding RNA is filed under the name Equus asinus (donkey). RNAcentral describes it as "lncRNA (ENSEASG00005031777.1)". The record is from RNAcentral. Lineage: Eukaryota; Metazoa; Chordata; Mammalia; Perissodactyla; Equidae.